This 370-nucleotide ribosomal RNA is filed under the name uncultured organism. RNAcentral describes it as "bacterial SSU rRNA". It matches the Rfam family "Bacterial small subunit ribosomal RNA", at positions 526 to 896 of the family's 1533-position model. The record is from RNAcentral.
CGUAGGGUGCGAGCGUUAAUCGGAAUUACUGGGCGUAAAGCGUGCGCAGGCGGUUUUGUAAGACAGAUGUGAAAUCCCCGGGCUCAACCUGGGACCUGCAUUUGUGACUGCAAGGCUAGAGUACGGUAGAGGGGGAUGGAAUUCCGCGUGUAGCAGUGAAAUGCGUAGAUAUGCGGAGGAACACCGAUGGCGAAGGCAAUCCCCUGGACCUGUACUGACGCUCAUGCACGAAAGCGUGGGGAGCAAACAGGAUUAGAUACCCUGGUAGUCCACGCCCUAAACGAUGUCAACUGGUUGUUGGGUCUUUACUGACUCAGUAACGAAGCUAACGCGUGAAGUUGGCCGCCUGGGGAGUACGGCCGCAAGGUUG